GACGAACGCUGGCGGCGCGCUUAACACAUGCAAGUCGAACGGAAAGGCCUGCUUUCCCUUGUGGAUUGCGGGUACUCGAGUGGCGAACGGGUGAGUAACACGUGAGUGAUCUGCCCCCAACUUGGGUAUAAGCCUGGGAAACUGGGUCUAAUUCCCGAUAGGACUGCAGGGUGGUGCCUGUGGUGGAAAACGAUUUUCUAGUGGUUGCGGAUGAGCUCGCGGCCUAUCAGCUUGUUGGUGGGGUAAUGGCCUACCAAGGCGGCGACGGGUAGCCGGCCUGAGAGGGUGGACGGCCACAUUGGGACUGAGAUACGGCCCAGACUCCUACGGGAGGCAGCAGUGGGGAAUAUUGCACAAUGGGCGGAAGCCUGAUGCAGCGACGCCGCGUGGGGGAUGACGGCCUUCGGGUGGUAAACUCCUUUCGACCGCGAGGAAGCCACCUGGUUGGAAGGGUGGUGACGGUAGUGGUAGAAGAAGCACCGGCUAACUACGUG
This 494-nucleotide ribosomal RNA is filed under the name uncultured bacterium. RNAcentral describes it as "partial 16S ribosomal RNA". It matches the Rfam family "Bacterial small subunit ribosomal RNA", at positions 28 to 507 of the family's 1533-position model. The record is from RNAcentral.